This 680-nucleotide ribosomal RNA is filed under the name Bacillus sp. DBT7. RNAcentral describes it as "bacterial SSU rRNA". It matches the Rfam family "Bacterial small subunit ribosomal RNA", at positions 61 to 723 of the family's 1533-position model. The record is from RNAcentral. Lineage: Bacteria; Bacillati; Bacillota; Bacilli; Caryophanales; Bacillaceae.
GUCGAGCGUUGGAUUGAGAGCUUGCUCUCAAGAAGUUAGCGGCGGACGGGUGAGUAACACGUGGGUAACCUGCCCAUAAGACUGGGAUAACUCCGGGAAACCGGGGCUAAUACCGGAUAACAUUUUGAACUGCAUGGUUCGAAAUUGAAAGGCGGCUUCGGCUGUCACUUAUGGAUGGACCCGCGUCGCAUUAGCUAGUUGGUGAGGUAACGGCUCACCAAGGCAACGAUGCGUAGCCGACCUGAGAGGGUGAUCGGCCACACUGGGACUGAGACACGGCCCAGACUCCUACGGGAGGCAGCAGUAGGGAAUCUUCCGCAAUGGACGAAAGUCUGACGGAGCAACGCCGCGUGAGUGAUGAAGGCUUUCGGGUCGUAAAACUCUGUUGUUAGGGAAGAACAAGUGCUAGUUGAAUAAGCUGGCACCUUGACGGUACCUAACCAGAAAGCCACGGCUAACUACGUGCCAGCAGCCGCGGUAAUACGUAGGUGGCAAGCGUUAUCCGGAAUUAUUGGGCGUAAAGCGCGCGCAGGUGGUUUCUUAAGUCUGAUGUGAAAGCCCACGGCUCAACCGUGGAGGGUCAUUGGAAACUGGGAGACUUGAGUGCAGAAGAGGAAGUGGAAUUCCAUGUGUAGCGGUGAAAUGCGUAGAGAUAUGGAGGAACACCAGUGGCGAAGGCG